Molecule: unclassified non-coding RNA, 6123 nt
Filed under: Camponotus floridanus (Florida carpenter ant)
Lineage: Eukaryota; Metazoa; Arthropoda; Insecta; Hymenoptera; Formicidae
Description: down syndrome cell adhesion molecule-like protein Dscam2, transcript variant X10
Source: RNAcentral
CAGUCGUGGCCGGCGGUGCCGGAGGCCAAAGACUCUCGUCGCGAGGGUAGUAGACGUGUGCGUCGCGUUUUCCGCCGGACCUCUUCCGCUCUCGGGUCUACUUAUCUGUGUCCUUCUUCUCCCUUUUCCCUUUUUCCAUCGGCUCCCGCGUCCCCGCCGACUUCUCCGCGACUACAUCGCCGCGAUACAUCUGAACGCCGCCGGCUUUUUAGACUGGCCGCGUGCCGCGUAUGCACCGCGUGCACUCGCAGCAGCCUCGCCGUCGACACCGCGACGACACGCUGCUGCUGCUCGUCCUCGUCGUCGGCCACCAUCGCCACCACGUCCUUGCGCCGUGCGUCGUGCACGUCGCCGACGACGACGACGGCGGCGACGACACCGCGGCGGAUCGCGAGCACCAGGGUGACGUUCAAGAGUGACGUGCAUCGUCGUCCUCUUCGAGGAACUAGGCGCCGAAUCCGGCCGUGCGUAGUAGACUACAGAAUCGAAGGAUGCUGGCCCGCUGCCUAAUCUUCGCAGGUGCAGCUGCUAUAAUAACGUCCGCGAGCGGGCACGGCUUCGACGCGCAUUUACGCGGACCUAGUUUCGUGGUGGAACCGCCGUCAAGGAUCGAGUUCUCAAAUUCCAGCGGCGCCUGGUUGGAUUGCACGGCCUCCGGAAGUCCGCCACCCAACAUUGACUGGUCCACCGCGGACGGACAUCCGGUGAACGAUGUGUCGGGCGUGCGGAGAGUGCUCAGAAAUGGUACUCUGGUGCUCUUGCCGUUUCCGGCCGCGGCCUAUCGACAGGACGUUCAUAGCGCCGCGUAUAGAUGCGUGGCGAGCAACCCCGUCGGCAGAGUUCUCAGCCGAGAUGUACAAGUCAGAGCAGUGGUGGCUCAAGCAUACAAAGUCGAUGUGGAGGUGACGGGGGGAGCAUCGAGGGGAUGCACCGCGAUAUUACGCUGCAUCAUACCUAGCUAUGUCAAAGAUUUGGUGCGCGUCGUAUCUUGGCUGCACGAGCCUUCGUCCUACAUAUAUCCCUCGCUACAAGGAGAUGGCAAGUUCCACCUGCUUCCCACGGGAGAGCUUCUGGUGCACAGCCUCGAGUUCAGCGACCAGCUGAACGGCUAUAGAUGCCGCACGAUGCACCGUCUCACGAGACAAGUGGUCGUUAGCUCUAUGGCCAACAUUAGGAUAGCAGAUCACAGAGGCGUAAUGCCUCCCGUGAUACUCGAAAACUCCGGCGUCGUUCACGUCGCCCAAGACGAAUCGACGUCAUUAGUCUGCGUGGCGCAAGCCUGCCCUUCACCUGAAUAUCGGUGGUACGCGCAAACAGGUGCGGAACCAAUGUUGGUGCUCUCCGGACCUAGAACUAGAUUACUUGGUUCUGUACUAGCCAUCGAGGCGGUAACAUUAGAGGACAGCGGUGUGUACCGCUGUUCUGCUUCUAAUCCUGGCGGCGAGGCGAGUGCCGAAAUUAGGUUAAUCGUGACGGCGCCUCUUCACGUGGAAGUGACGCCUCCGUUGCUCAGCGUUCACUUAGGAGGCAACGCCGAGUUCAGAUGCGAAGUUGGUACGCAUCCGCAAGCUGGGCCGCAUUUUAUCACGUGGUACAAGGACGGUAGGCAGCUCCCAGGAUCGGGGAGGCAAUCGGAAUUACUGAGGUUGAACGGAAUCGGAAGGGAUGAUCGCGGCAUGUAUCAAUGCAUUGUCAGAAGAUCGGAAGGCGAUACCGCUCAAGCGUCUGCGGAACUUCAAUUAGGCGACGCGCCACCGGUACUCCUAUACUCGUUCAUCGAGCAGACACUCCAGCCAGGACCCGCCGUAUCCUUAAAAUGUUCCGCCGCAGGAAACCCUACACCACAGGUAUCAUGGGCGUUGGACGGUUUUCCCUUACCGACUAAUGGAAGAUUUGUCAUUGGUCAAUACGUAACGGUGCACGGCGACGUCAUAUCCCAUGUCAAUAUAAGCCACGUUAUGGUGGAGGACGGAGGAGAAUAUUCCUGCACCGCCGAAAAUCGCGCGGGAAAAGUAACACAUGCUGCGCGACUGAAUGUUUAUGGACUUCCAUACAUACGCCUGAUCCCGAAAGUGACCGCCGUCGCCGGCGAGACGCUUCGUUUGAAGUGUCCCGUGGCUGGAUAUCCGAUCGAGGAGAUCAAGUGGGAGAAGUCGAGUCGCGAGUUGCCGGAUAAUCUGCGUCAGAAGGUACUUCCGGACGGCACCCUGAUGAUCAGCAGCGUGCAAAAGAAUGGCGACCCGGGCGUGUACACCUGUUGGGCGAGGAACAAGCAAGGUCACAGCGCCAGAAGAUCCGGAGACGUCGCGGUGAUCGUACCCCCUAUUAUUGAGCCAUUUACGUUCCAAGAGGGACUAUCCGAGGGGAUGCGGACGCGGACGGUGUGCGGGGUCGCGGCGGGAGAUCCACCCCUAACCAUAUCCUGGCUGAAAGAUGGUCAAAAUCCUUUUCCCCUGCCGCCGAAUCUGGCCUCCGUCGCAAACGUCUCCCAACUGGAUCCCUACUCGAGCCUCCUCAGUAUAACGAAUCUUGCGGCCGAGCACUCCGGCGACUAUACCUGCGUCGCCGCGAACCCCGCCGCCGAGGUCAGGUACACGGCCAAGCUACAGGUAAAAGUGCCACCCAGAUGGAUCGUCGAGCCGAUUGACGUGAGCGUCGAGAGGAAUCGCCACGUUGCUUUGCAUUGUCAAGCGCAGGGCGUCCCGACGCCGACGAUCGUCUGGAAGAAAGCCACCGGAAGCAAGGCCGGUGAUUACGAGGAGUUGCGUGAAAGAACGUAUACUAAAAUCCUCAGCAACGGCACGCUGUUGCUGCAACAUGUGAAAGAAGACAGAGAAGGUUUCUACCUAUGCCACGCGAACAACGGCAUAGGAAGCGGCUUAGGCAAGGUCGUGCAGUUAAAAGUCAAUUCAUCUCCGUAUUUCGCCGCACCAUCGCGACUCGUAACCGUAAAGAAAGGAGACACGGCGACGUUACACUGCGAGGUACACGGCGAUAAGCCGGUUACCGUUACUUGGCUGAAAGGCGGCAAAAGCGAGCUUAAUCCCUCGACGAAUUACCGCGUCGCAGUGAAGCAGGAAGUAACACCGGAUGGUAUCAUCGCGCAACUGCAAAUCUCAUCGGCGGAAGCCGCCGACAGCGGUGCGUAUUUUUGCCAGGCGAAUAAUCUUUACGGCCGCGAUCAGCAACUGGUGCAACUCCUCGUGCAAGAGCCACCACAACCACCGAACGCCCUAGAAACUGCCAUGGUGGCGAGUCGUAGCAUUAACGUUAAGUGGCAACACAAGUCGCAGGACACUAGCGAAGUCACCAAAUACAUUCUUCAGUACAAGGAGGGUGAAGGUGGUAUGUGGCAGCAUCAAGAAUUUACCGGACCACCAUUGCCGUAUGCGGCAUUAAUCGAUGACCUGAAACCAGCCACAAGAUAUACUAUACGCGUGAUAGCGGAAGGUCCAGCGGGUCGAUCUGUCCCUUCGGCGGAACUUGUCGUCAGGACCGAACCGCAGAGACCAGCUGGUCCGCCGAUGAAUCUCGCAGCUCGAGCUCUUUCCUCCUCCGAGAUUCUCAUCAGUUGGUCACCGCCGUUGUCGGAACUUCGUCACGGUGAUAUACAAGGUUUCAACGUCGGUUACAAAGAAACGAGUUCGAGCAAUCCAUCGUAUAACUUCAGCUCUGUAUCAGGCGAUGGAGAGGAAGGUGGCGGAGAGCUUCGACUUACAGGUCUCAGGCCUUACACUAGAUACACUCUAGUCGUUCAGGCUUAUAAUCAGGUUGGGCCAGGACCUUUGUGCGAACCAUUGCUCACGCAGACGUUGGAAGACGUUCCUAGCAUGCCACCAGACGACGUAAGAUGCGCGGCACUCACUUCUCAGUCUUUGCAAGUGUCCUGGCAACCUCCGCCGAAUACGCACAGCAACGGUAUUAUUCAAGGCUACAAAUUAAAUUACGAACCACUUUUGGCGGACGCGUGGCGAGGAGUAGAUGAAAUGGAGGUUCGCAAAACGAACGCUCUAACAACGGUUCUAACUGGACUUAGGCGGUACACUAAUUAUACUAUCCAAGUUUUGGCUUUUACCAGAAUCGGCGACGGUGUGCCCUCCACAACAAUUUACUGUCAGACGGAGGAAGAUGUGCCAGGCAGUCCGGCUGAUAUCAAAGUCGUAGUAAGCUCACCGCAAGCUCUCUUUAUCUCAUGGUUACCUCCACUCGAACCGAAUGGAGUUAUUACGAAGUACAAUCUUUAUACAAGAGUCGUUGAUGGACGGGAAGAACUCAAUCACGGUAAGAAGACGUUACCGGCCACAAGCACGUAUUUCGAGGCGACCGACUUGCAACAACACGUGGAGUAUCAAUUCUGGGUAACCGGCAGUACCCGGAUGGGCGAAGGUCAGAGUUCGAGGGUGACGGCGCAGGUGCCAACAAAUCGAGUGCCAGCCAGAAUCACGUCCUUCGGCGGACACGUGGUCCGUCCAUGGCGGAGUUCGGCCACUUUGGCAUGUAACGCGGUCGGAGAUCCGACGAGAGAAUGGUACAAGGGCACCACGGAGCAAUUGCGCACCGAUUCCGCCAGAAACGUGCAAAUUUUGACGACCGGAGAGCUCGUAUUAUCGAAUCUUCAGUCGCAGGACAGCGGGAAUUACACCUGUCAGGUGGAGAACUCUCAAGGCAGCGAUAAGCUGCAUUAUACUCUCACGGUGCAAGUUCCACCCAACGCACCUGUAUUAUAUGUAACCAGCUCUACGUCGAGUAGUAUAUUAUUACAUUGGAAAUCCGAGCAUAACGGUGGUGCACCAUUGACGGGUUACACACUAUAUUAUCGAACUACUCACGGUACUCUCGAUGAGUUACAAUUAUCUCGUCAUGCUACUAAUCACGAAUUGAAGGGGCUUCUGUGCGGCAACACGUAUCAGUUGUAUCUAACAUCGCACAAUAAGAUUGGCAGUAGUCCGCCAUCUCCGGUGCUCUCGGUUCGAACUCAGGGUCAAGCUCCAGGAAUCCCACCAGCAGCCGCUUUCGUCAGCCCGAACUCUACUACUUUGGUGCUACGAUUGCACGUCUGGCCCGAUAAUGGGUGCCCCAUUAAGUAUUUUGUUAUUCAAUACAAACCUAUGAAUGAGUUUCACUGGACUCUAGUAUCAAACAACGUCAAAAUGCAACGGCGAUUCGUUGUGACAAAUUUAGCACCCAGCUCAGUCUAUCAGCUCAAGGUCGAGGCUCAUAAUGUAGCCGGUAGUAAUCAAGCAGAGUUCACGUUCGUAACGUUGACGAAGGAAGGUGAAUCACCGCCUCCAGGAUUGUCAAAACGGGGAAUAACGUCGGCUAUGCCAUUUUAUGCAGAUGUCAAAGUGAUUCUGCCAUUGAUCGUGGCUACUAUCGCGCUGGUCGCCGCAGUGAUAAUUGUCGCCUUUCGUUGGAGGAAUAGAUAUUUAGGAGGUCAAGUGCAACGGCCGAUGAAAGAAUCACAAGAGAAUCAACAAAAUGCCGAGACGCAACGAGAGCGUUAUUAUGCCACGAUACACAAAGUGGCUCUGCAAGCGGCGAAUACGGGCGCUGGGCCCGACAAGAUUCCAGACAGCGGAGGACAUUUCGCCGUACGCUACGUUCCAGCUUUCGGAGGGUGGCGGGGGAAGCCUGGCAGGGUUGGGCGCAUUGGGAGGACUGGGAGGCGCGGCGGAGGCCACAGCGGCCGGUCUUCAUCCGAACAAUACUCUUCUUCACAGCUUCAUGUAUCACGAGCAUGCCAUGACCGAAGGAUGCGCGAGUCCUCCACCGGCAGCAACGAGCAUGAAGAGUGUCUCGUCGAGAAGGCGACAACAGAGAAAACAACAAACUCCGGGCGAUGUCGAGAGCGACGAGAGCGAGUCUGACCCGGAUCAACUGAUAAGUUCGCGCACGGAAUCAUCGAAUCAACUGGAUGCCGGCAAACUAAAACAUAUUCGCGCGGUUUCGGAUUUUAUCUAUCAUGGCACGUCGAGCACUUCUUCGGAUAUUUCUCCCAUGUCCGAACAGAAGUCACUGCCACGAAGGGGGCGAUCAAGGAGCUCUCUACGCACGCUACUACCGCCGAUCUCGGUCGCGGAGACCGCGUUCGUCGGCAAUCAGGGGGCGGUUGUGCCUACGCCG